This 62-nucleotide non-coding RNA is filed under the name unclassified sequences. RNAcentral describes it as "RAGATH-18 RNA". It matches the Rfam family "RAGATH-18 RNA". From Rfam's summary of the family: Actinobacteria, Firmicutes, Fusobacteria, Thermotogae (1 example). Nearby to self-cleaving ribozyme genes The record is from Rfam by way of RNAcentral.
CCUUUGGAGUGUCAUACCAAACUGUAGUAGCCCAGGCAAGGCAGGACACGUUGAAUAAGGAA